UACAGAGGUCCCAAGCGUUGUUCGGAUUCACUGGGCGUAAAGGGUGCGUAGGUGGCCGGUUAAGUCUGACGUGAGAUCUCCGAGCCUAACUCGGAAACUGCAUCGGAAACUAUCCGGCUCGAGGGUUGGAGGGGGGACUGGAAUACUUGGUGUAGCAGUGAAAUGCGUAGAUAUCAAGUGGAACACCAGUGGCGAAGGCGAGUCCCUGGACAACUCCUGACACUGAGGCACGAAAGCUAGGGGAGCAAACAGG
This 253-nucleotide ribosomal RNA is filed under the name uncultured bacterium. Its description in RNAcentral is "partial 16S ribosomal RNA". It matches the Rfam family "Bacterial small subunit ribosomal RNA", at positions 524 to 776 of the family's 1533-position model. The record is from RNAcentral.